Molecule: long non-coding RNA, 2540 nt
Filed under: Taeniopygia guttata (zebra finch)
Lineage: Eukaryota; Metazoa; Chordata; Aves; Passeriformes; Estrildidae
Description: lncRNA (ENSTGUG00000028775.1)
Source: RNAcentral
CAAUGAAUUAAGCAGCUCUGGGGUACAGUUGCAACACAGUAGGCACAUUAACUUAUUAUGAAAUAAGCAGAAUGUUAUAGAAUACCACAGAAGAUCAGCAGAGGAUACACAGGACCAACAUCCCCUUUGUUCCUGCAGGCAGGAUUACCAGGAUACAACAGGAAUACUCCAGUGCUUCUCUUAUGGAGACGCUUUGACCAGGCUUGGAUUGAUCUGAGAGUGAGGUCAGAGGCAAGCAGACCUUCAACCCUGAGUCCACAGCCAUGGCUGCUCCCCUCCUCAUCAUGUCAGGCCAAUGUCUGCACUACGAGUUACAGCUGAAAACUACUAAUUCAAAAUUAUAAAAGUGGAAGAUUGAAUUUAUGAAAAUGGGAAACAGCCGUUUUGUGGCAGUUUUGUGACAGUUUUCUCACUAGAGCACAGCUUCCGGGGUUGAAGUCAUUAGUGUUCCUGUUAAACAGCAAGUAGCACAACUCUCAACAUAACAGGGACCUCCUCUUGGCUAUGUCAACUAUUUUAUUGGAUUAUUUCUGCAUAGGCUAUUUCUAGCUGUAGCCUGUGUCAGAGGUUUGGACUGGCUGGGUAUCCAAGUAUCUGUUUACAAGCAUCAGGAUGGAUGGAAUGUAAUCAAGUACAGUCAAAGGCAACUAAGGCAACUGGAAAGGACACAUCUGUUGGUGCUCCACUUCAGGGCUAGAAUUGUGAUUAAAAACAACAAAAUCAACACUAGGUAAACGUUACUGCCAUUGUCUGAAGCCAUUUAAAUAUUGCAAUUGCAAGUGACUUCAAGGCUGCUGUCUAAACUCCGCUAGAAUCAAGUAAACAAUGAAAAAUAAAAGCACAAUAUAAAUUAGAAUUUUGAUAAAAAAACUCUUUUACCUGUUUGUCUAUUUGGUCUUUCUGAUAAUAACAUAAAAAUACUGUAAAAAUCUUUGAAGAAAAAGAAUAAGGGAAAAUCUAUAUGUUUGGAUUUGAUUUUCUAUACCAUGUGUUCACUCUGUAUGACUGCUUGUCUGUGAACAGUUUUGGAUACAUAAACCAAAUUUGAACAAAUUUAAUUUAAAAUAUUGUGUGCAUUGGGGAGGAAUAUGACAAGCUAAGUUGAAAUCAUGAGGAGAUACAAGAAAUCAACAAGAGCAGUAAGGAUACCUAAAAUAUGACCACGAAAAAGACUUUACUGGUAAACAGUUACAAGUAAGAUAACUACAUAGUAGGGCAAUCUAGCAUUAAAGGACAUAGCCCUGCACUGAUGCUGAACUCCAGACAAAUGAGAAAGCUGGACUCAUCAAAAGCCUGUGGAUGAUGGUGAAAGAAGAGGAGGACUCAGCUGUGUCUGUCAGUAGACUAAACCACAUGAACAGAGAAUAGGUAGUGGAAGCCUUUAUCAUGAACAAAUGACAAAUCAUUUAACACCCAAUGCACAGAAGCAGAGUCCCAAGAGAGCUUAACUAUCCAAAGAAUGAGUAGGAAAGGAAACAGGAGGACAUGGAUAAAUUAACAAGCUCUAUUCUGAAAAGCAUUGUUCGCCACUUCUAUUUCUGUGUUAAAACAGAGAGAGGAGAGGAUCUUCUGGAUAUGUUUCUGUACUACUGAAAAGUACCAGAGAAAAGUAGCUGUUUGAGAAAAGAAUGAUGAAAGGUGACUUGGAGACAGUGACUGAAAUCAUAAAGUAUAUAUUGUCAGGAAGAAAAUAGAAGAAAAGGAGACAAUCAUAGACUUGAAGUAGACAACUUUCACAAAUUCAAGAAAAGGAAAAAGUAAUUAAGUUGUAGCAGAAAACAUAAGCUAUUCUUAUCAGAAGGGGAAAGUAUUGAGAGUGAGAUUAGUUGAGGUAAGCCAGAAACUUUUACUUGAUCUCAAACUCACGAAGUUCCAUCUGAAAAGUAGAAAUCAGGUCAAAUUUUUAAACAUAUAAAAUAACAGUAUGUGUAUGAUCCAAUCAGGAGAUAAAGGCAUAAACCAAACACAGAGCUUGAAGACACUUCAAAAGGAAACAAGCAUUAAAGAUAACAAAAAGAAAAGAAAAUUAUGAUUGCUUUUCCUGAUUAUUUGUGUGACUGAAGGCAAGGAAAUGACACAAAAGAUGAUCCCAAGAAGAUUGGAAUAUUUAAAACCUUUUUUGCAUAUGACAAAAAAAAGCUGCUGACACCUCAUUAACAUAAUUACAUAAUUAACAUUUAUGAAAAGAAGUUAAGUAUUCAUUUAAAACAGUGUCAGGAGAGCAUUAUGGAAUGUUCUCAAGUCAGCCAGACUGGACAGACUUUGGCCUGGGAUAUUUCAAGAAUGAGGUGAAUUCUUCAGAUUAGCAAUUACUUGAGAAUCUGUCAAAAUUGGCUAAAAGAUGUAAGUCUGAGAAAGGACAAAAGCAACAGCUGCCUUAUACAAUAAGAGGGGAGAAAGUAGAUGAAGAAGAGGCUGGCAAUAUUAAACUAAUCAGUCUAACUUCAACUCAGAAAAAAAAAAACAACCCAGAAAUAAAUCUAAAGCAAAUCUAGAAUUAAGUAAACUCUUUGCAAAUGCUUUCAAUGAAAAGCAAUAGC